Molecule: ribosomal RNA, 686 nt
Filed under: uncultured bacterium
Lineage: Bacteria
Description: bacterial SSU rRNA
Rfam family: Bacterial small subunit ribosomal RNA
Source: RNAcentral
AACGCUAGCUACAGGCUUAACACAUGCAAGUCGAGGGGCAUCAGGGUAGCAAUACCGCUGGCGACCGGCGCACGGGUGAGUAACACGUAUCCAACCUACCGUUAACUCGGGGAUAGCCUUUCGAAAGAAAGAUUAAUACCCGAUAGUAUAUUUUCUUCGCAUGUUGAAAAUAUUAAAGAAUUUCGGUUAUCGAUGGGGAUGCGUUCCAUUAGGCAGUUGGCGGGGUAACGGCCCACCAAACCUACGAUGGAUAGGGGUUCUGAGAGGAAGGUCCCCCACAUUGGAACUGAGACACGGUCCAAACUCCUACGGGAGGCAGCAGUGAGGAAUAUUGGUCAAUGGACGAGAGUCUGAACCAGCCAAGUAGCGUGAAGGAUGACUGCCCUAUGGGUUGUAAACUUCUUUUAUAUGGGAAUAAAGUUCUCCACGUGUGGAGUUUUGUAUGUACCAUUAUGAAUAAGCAUCGGCUAACUCCGUGCCAGCAGCCGCGGUAAUACGGAGGAUGCGAGCGUUAUCCGGAUUUAUUGGGUUUAAAGGGAGCGUAGGUGGACUGGUAAGUCAGUUGUGAAAGUUUGCGGCUCAACCGUAAAAUUGCAGUUGAUACUGUAUGUCUUGAGUGUACAAGAGGUGGGCGGAAUUCGUGGUGUAGCGGUGAAAUGCUUAGAUAUCACGAAGAACUCCGAUUG